RNAcentral lists this long non-coding RNA (574 nucleotides) under Numida meleagris (helmeted guineafowl). RNAcentral's name for it is "lncRNA (ENSNMEG00000006512.1)". Lineage: Eukaryota; Metazoa; Chordata; Aves; Galliformes; Numididae. The record is from RNAcentral.
CAAAAACCUCAUGUCCAUCUGAAGAUAAGCAUUUCAACAUCCCCUCAGAUACCUUCUUGUAUUAUGAAAGUGAGGAAAGGGUCUGACCUUAUCCUUGUUCAUCCAUGCUAAACAGCCAAAUUAUGAGCACCAGAUCUACACCCUGAGAGAUGUGCACAUCCUAAAGUUCUUCCUCCAAAGAUCUACUGCUUUGCUGUAGCUAUGAGCCACAACAGCAACAAAGGAUAUGUUAAUCUACUAAGGAAUAAGUGUUUUGUGAAAACAUGGAGAAUCCAGAACUAUAUGCAACUCACACAAGUAAAUUCAUACAAACAUUGCCUUGUGAAGGUGGAGUGCUCUAUUUCUUGGCUGUAUAUUGAGACACUGAAGGUGAGCUCACACACUGAACCAAAACCACAAACCAAACUGACACCAGCUGUGAUCCAUAUCCAAAAAUUUAUUCCAAGAACCUUCAAAUAACAUUUUAGAAUUUACCCUUCAAUGCCCAAACCAAAAUUGUUGCUAUGGCAAAACCUACGUGUCAUCUGAAAAAGAUACAGAGCCACACAUCAAAUAAAGAGCAUAAUGCAUCACA